Sphaerodactylus townsendi is the source of this 683-nucleotide long non-coding RNA. RefSeq lists it as uncharacterized. The transcript has 2 exons. NCBI's taxonomy places the organism in Eukaryota, Metazoa, Chordata, Lepidosauria, Squamata, Sphaerodactylidae. The record is from RefSeq and is a predicted model, not a curated record.
UCCUGUUUCCUUGCGGUCUUCCUGGUCACAUGGGGGGCCAAUUUUGCACCCCCACGUGACCAGAUCAGUGGUGCCCAGGGACAGGGGGUAUCCCCUGUCCCUAGGCAAAUACGCCACUGUCUCUGUUUAAUGGAAAUUUAAAGCAAAGCCUAAUACGGUCAGGAUGCCAUAAUUUCUUAGGAUCCUCUCUAUUCCCAUGGAACCGUGGAUUCUCGUCUUUUUUCACUCUUGUACCCCUCGGCAACUGAUUUCCCUAAAAUUGGGUUCCUGUAUUAGUAAACCCAUUAGGUGCUUUUUUUGUGUGUACCCCCAAAACAGUUGGGUGUUUCCCUGGGAGUUCGCGUACCCCAGCUUGGGACCCACAGCUAUGGAAUAAACAUACGUGCUAGAUACGCACAACAAAAACAAACACCCCUUUGAAAAGGGAACGUGAAGCGGAUUUUUGAUCUUGGACGAUCAGUGCGGGAAAGUGACCGUUUGGCUGGGUUUAGACUGCUUUAUCUUCAAGAAGACAAGGGGAAGGGCUGAAUUACAAGCAAGGUAUGGGUGGGAUCGAGGCAAACAAAUUCUGUGCCAGGCAAACUUGAAUGUCCUGACUGACAUAUGCCUGUUGCUGUUUUCUGUCUUCGUUUUGUAGAAAUGUGAUAAUUGUUUUUUAAAAAAAUAAAAGAUUUGAGCACGGC